CCUACGGGAGGCAGCAGUGGGGAAUCUUGCGCAAUGGGCGAAAGCCUGACGCAGCAACGCCGCGUGCGGGAAGAAGGCUUUCGGGCUGUAAACCGCUUUCAGCAGGAACGAAAAUGACGGUACCUGCAGAAGAAGGAGCGGCCAACUAUGUGCCAGCAGCCGCGGUGAUACAUAGGCUUCAAGCGUUGUCCGGAUUUAUUGGGCGUAAAGAGUUCGUAGGCGGUCGAGUAAGUCGGGUGUGAAAAUUCUGGGCUCAACCCAGAGACGCCACCCGAUACUGCUUGACUUGAGUUCGAUAGGGGAGUGGGGAAUUCCUAGUGUAGCGGUGAAAUGCGCAGAUAUUAGGAGGAACACCGGUGGCGAAGGCGCCACUCUGGAUCGAUACUGACGCUGAGGAACGAAAGCAUGGGUAGCAAACAGGAUUAGAUACCCUGGUAGUCCAUGCCGUAAACGGUGGGCACUAGGUGUGGGUUUCUAUUAACGAAAUCCGCGCCGUCGCUAACGCAUUAAGUGCCCCGCCUGGGGAGGUACGGUCGCAGACUAAACUACAAGAAGUAGACGGCGNGAGACGNGCCGACGGACGACGACGAGGGAGGUAGG
This 600-nucleotide ribosomal RNA is filed under the name uncultured bacterium. Its description in RNAcentral is "bacterial SSU rRNA". It matches the Rfam family "Bacterial small subunit ribosomal RNA", at positions 338 to 965 of the family's 1533-position model. The record is from RNAcentral.